RNAcentral lists this ribosomal RNA (158 nucleotides) under Meruliporia incrassata. Its description in RNAcentral is "5.8S ribosomal RNA". It matches the Rfam family "5.8S ribosomal RNA". Rfam says of the family: 5.8S ribosomal RNA (5.8S rRNA) is a component of the large subunit of the eukaryotic ribosome. It is transcribed by RNA polymerase I as part of the 45S precursor that also contains 18S and 28S rRNA. Functionally, it is thought that 5.8S rRNA may be involved in ribosome translocation. The record is from RNAcentral. Lineage: Eukaryota; Fungi; Basidiomycota; Agaricomycetes; Boletales; Coniophoraceae.
AUACAACUUUCAGCAACGGAUCUCUUGGCUCUCGCAUCGAUGAAGAACGCAGCGAAUUGCGAUACGUAAUGUGAAUUGCAGAUUUUCAGUGAAUCAUCGAAUCUUUGAACGCACCUUGCGCUCCUUGGUAUUCCGAGGAGCAUGCCUGUUUGAGUGUC